This 301-nucleotide ribosomal RNA is filed under the name uncultured bacterium. RNAcentral describes it as "partial 16S ribosomal RNA". It matches the Rfam family "Bacterial small subunit ribosomal RNA", at positions 509 to 807 of the family's 1533-position model. The record is from RNAcentral.
CAGUCGCCGCGGUAAUGCGAAGGGGGCUAGCGUUGUUCGGAAUUAUUGGGCGUAAAGGGUGCGUAGGCGGCUUGACAAGUCUGUUGUGAAAUCCCCGGGCUCAACCUGGGAAUGGCAAUGGAAACUGGACGGCUAGAGUGUGUCAGAGGAUGGUGGAAUUCCCGGUGUAGCGGUGAAAUGUGUAGAGAUCGGGAGGAACAUCAGUGGCGAAGGCGGCCAUCUGGGACAACACUGACGCUGAAGCACGAAAGCGUGGGGAGCAAACAGGAUUAGAUACCCCUGUAGUCCCUGUCUCUUAUAC